RNAcentral lists this ribosomal RNA (329 nucleotides) under uncultured Ceratobasidium. RNAcentral describes it as "eukaryotic LSU rRNA". Lineage: Eukaryota; Fungi; Basidiomycota; Agaricomycetes; Cantharellales; Ceratobasidiaceae. The record is from RNAcentral.
CGCACCUUGCGCUCCUUGGUAUUCCUUGGAGCAUGCCUGUUUGAGUAUCAUGAGCAAAUCUCAAAGUCGAUCCUUUUGUUAAUUCAAUUGGGUUUGCUUUGGACUUGGAGGUCUUGCAGAUUUCACCGUCUGCUCCUCUUAAAUGCAUUAGCUGGAUCUCAGUAUUAUGCUUGGCUCCACUCGGCGUGAUAAGUAUCACUCGCUGAGGACACUGAUAAAAAAGGUGGCCAGGAAAAUAAUUGAUUGAACCGCUUCUAACGGUCUAUUAACUUAGACAAUUACCCUUAACGUUUGAUCUCGAAUCAGGUAGGACUACCCGCUGAACUUAA